AAUUAUAGAAUGUGUAUCUGCCAUGGUCAAUGUCAUUUCAGAAGUUUGUAAGGGCUAUUCCUUGAAGCUUACACCUGCCCCCCUCAAUGUGACUAACAAGUCUUUUCAGUUAGUAACAUACUUGCUGAGGGUUUGACAACAAAGACUUAAUGAAGAUUGUGAUAAAUUCACACAGACACCCAAGUAAAUGUAAGCAUCCACAGAAAUGAGGAAGAACUCAAUGCUAUUAAUUCAACAAUAAAAGGAAUUCCUCAGGAAAACCGAGGGCCUGCAGGCUGCCUGCGUCUUGAGUAAGGAAGGAACAAUCCAGAGAUCUGCCAAUGCCUCACAAGUGUGCAAAUCAGCAAAUAUUCUGAGACUAUACACUGUAUUGAAAAAGAGGAUCGUCAGCUUAAUACCAUUAGAGUACUGUGCUUUUGUUCUGUACAGCACCAAAAUGCAGUUUUCAUUCAGGAUUAAUUUAUUUUUUCAAACUAUAUAUGUACUUUUCUGUUUAAUUGUAAUCCUAGGAGAGCAGCUAUAUUAUCUGCAUUGUUGUUAUAUUCCCAAAACCCAGAAAACAGAUGUUCAAUAAAUGAUUUUCAAAUGA
Long non-coding RNA from Homo sapiens (human), 589 nucleotides. Lineage: Eukaryota; Metazoa; Chordata; Mammalia; Primates; Hominidae. The record is from Ensembl.